GCGUCGCGAAGCGGAUCACACGCUCUCCCCGCCCCUCGGGAUCUGGAGCGUCCGGGAGCGGGCGCCCGUGCGUGAUGACGCACGUGGUUGCGAAGACGUGGGGACGGACGCAGGCGGGCCGUAGAGAGCGUUCAGCUGCCUGUAAAUCUUCCCAGAUUCCCAGAACCUGACCACAUUUUCCCAUCCCUGGCUUGACACCUAACCAUGCAGCGGAGAUCAAGAGGAAUUAAUAUUGGGCUGCUCUUGCUCCUUUCUCAGAUCUUCCAUGUUGGGAUCGACAAUAUUCCACCUGUCACCCUGGCAACUUUGGCCCUCAACAUCUGGUUAUUCUUGAAUCCUCUGAAACCGCUGUUGAGCGCCUGCCUUAGCGUGGAGAAAUGUUACCAGCAGAAAGACUGGCAGCGCCUCCUGCUUUCCCCUCUUCACCACGCGGAUGAUUGGCAUUUGUAUUUCAACAUGGCGUCCAUGCUAUGGAAAGGAAUAAAGUUGGAAAGAAGACUGGGAAGUAAAUGGUUUGCCUACAUCAUUGCCACAUUCUCCGUACUCACCGGGGUGGUGUACUUGCUCUUGGAAUUUGCUCUGGCGGAAUUUAUGAACGAACCUAACUUAAAAAGGAACUGUGCUGUAGGUUUCUCAGGCGUUCUGUUUGCUUUGAAAGUUCUUAACAACCACUAUUGCCCCGGAGGCUUUGUCACCGUUUUGGGCUGUCCUGUACCCAGCAGGUUUGCCUGUUGGGCAGAACUUCUGGCUAUCCACUUCCUCUCGCCAGGGACUUCCUUCGCCGGGCAUCUGGCCGGGAUUCUUGUUGGACUCAUGUACACUUGUGGGCCUCUGAAGAAGAUCAUGAAAACCUGUGCAGGCAUUUUUCCCUCCAACACUGGUUACCCGAGACAGCAAUACUACUUUAAUAACACAGGCUAUUCUGGAUAUCAGGGUUACUUCCCGUACGGCGGGCCGGAGUACUAUGAUGUACCCAGGAACUACGACAUGUACACAGCAGGACUGAGUGAAGAGGAGCAGCUGGAGAGGGCGCUGAGAGCCAGCCUCUCGGACCCAGAGCUCGUCCGUCUGAAGGGCUGCGAUGGUGCCGUCCUCGCCUCCCAAGUCAUCCCUGCCUUGGCCGAGGAGCUGACCCUGGUUUUCUGAGCCACCAACCCUUCAGACUUCACGGGGCUCGUACUGCUAACCAGGCUGUCAUUCUUCUUUCAGGGACCGGCAGAAACAGCCCUCCGCCCUAUGGGUUCCGUCUCUCACCAGAAGAAGAAAUGAGGAGAAGGCGGCUUCACAGAUUUGACAGCCAGUGAGGUGGCCCAGCCUCAUGAGCAGAUGUGGUCCAGUUGUGUCAUCAGCGCCCUGAAGCCCCCACUUAGUUUUAAACAAAAGCAGGGGCCACCGCGACACUCCCAGGUGACUCACGUCUUCCACGGCCCGUCAUCCUCUGGCUACUGUGAGUCUAGAUUCACAAACAGGUGGUUUGUGUCUUGAAACCAGGCUCGUUGGAUCCAGCUCACAGCUCCCUCGGAGUGGCCCUCCUCCUGCCUUGUUCUCUCUCGCAGACAGAAGGUCAGCCUCUCCGUGUCGGGAUGGGUUCCACACCCCUUUCUCUCACUGCCGACUCAGCGAUGCCCCUGCCGUGUGGGUCUCUGACGACCGUGACCUCCGCAGGGAGGCUUGUGUUCACCAGCCCGGCAGAGCAGGCCCCCUUUCUGCUCAGUGCUUGACUUGGCAGGACGCUGGGAGCCAUCCCUGGUCCUCUGGGCACUUUGCCAUGGUGACCUUCCAGGCACAAGAUGUGACUUCCAUCCCAGGAUGUCGUUCUGGUCUCCCUUGGCUCGGCCCCUGGGGCCCCACGUCUGGGCGGUGUCUGCAGUGAACCGGCUUAGCUCUUACGUCCCAGGGUGUUUUCCUGGAAAAACUUGAGUAAGACCUCGGAUGGGAGACCACCCACUCACUCCACGACAUAUCAGGGAGCACCAACAGCCUGGGCUCACAGCAGCCUCUCCAGUGACAGCAUCUGUUCCCAGAGAUGGGACUCGUGUUGAACGAAUCAGCAAAGCAGCUGCAGGUGCCCCGUGCAGAGGAGAGCGACCAGCGGGUUGGUCACUGCGAAAUCCCUCCUGAGGAAGUAUUUUUUUCUCAUAAAAGUGCCUUUUAAUUGACCACUGUACCAGCCAUUUGUCCUACACAAGCACCCAAGACACUCCCCUAACCUACGGACUCCAAGUCACUCAAGGUGUUUCCUGGUGCUUGUGUUUUAUGAAUAAAAGGGAAAAGUCAAAUAUCACCAAUGUCUUAUUCACUGAGAUAUUUAUGUUUAAAGAGAGUUAUAUCCAGAAAAGGAUCUUCCUAUUUGGAUUGAUCUAGCAUUUAUAUCAUUUUCUGAUUAUGAAAGUAAUAUAUGUACCUUGUUAUAUACAUAAAUCAAACAUCUGGAAGGAAAUAUUCCCAUGUGUUAACAGGUGUUAUUUUGGAAGGUAGAGUAUGUAGGAUUUUGCUUUCCGUUUUUGACAAUUUUAUACUGCUGUCUUUUUUUAAAAAUUGUGUGUAUGUAUUUGUAUUUGUAUUAUUUUUGCAAUGGGAAAACCAGUUUAUAUAAGAAGAAAAAUAUCAUCAGGAAAAUGGACUUAAUAAGUGUUGUGUCUCCAUCACAGUAUACGCAGAAAUACAAAAAAAUACACGGACGGUGUAAAAAUCACCUGUAUCCCCACCACUCCUAGGCACCCAAGGUUAACAUUUGGCAAGUACUGCUUUCUUAGUCCUCUUUGCAUACAUUUGACAAAUUCAGACACACCAACUGUGCAGCUUUACAUCCUGGUCCUGAUCUGAAUUGAUCCACGAGAGGCUUCGCCUCUUGCAUGUAAAUGAGCUAAGAAAAGCACCUGACCUGGGAGCACUUUGACCUGCCAGCUGGCACGGUGGUACCUGAGCUGUUCUGGUUAAUUUGCAAUCGAUACAAAGCUACAUGCGGCAUAUUUAUAGUGUCAGUCGUACCUCUGCGUCUUGUCCCUUCAAACGUGUUGAAGUUUAUCUCUUCAAGCUAAAUGUCAUUCCCCUUUCUCCCAAAGCCUUCAACUUUGACUUCCAUUACCUCUGCUGGGAGUGACCUCAUUUUCACGCACCAUCUUCUCAUAGCACCUUGGAAAGAUGAUUCUGUUAUAACACUUAGAUCUCCCCCUGUUAUUAUUUGCACACAACUAGAGAAAGACGUGCCUUCUGCACAGGAGCACGGAUUGUGAACGGCUCUGGGACGAGGCUUGUAUCUUGUUAACUACAUUUUCCACCCUGCUGUCUCAAAGACUGGCUCCUGGCUUCUGGUAAGGGAUUAUUAAAUGUUAGUUUCUCAUCAAAGUGUUUUUUUUUCAACACAUUAAAAGUCCAGCCACUGUAUAUAGAAGUGUAUGUUUUUUACUGCUGUUGAGUCCAAUCAUAGCAGCUCCUGGCUUUAGUUCACUUGUCAGAUAUAAAGAUGCUGGAAUUGGAUUUUGGAUGGUGUAACUGUAAUAAUGUACACCUUCUUUAUCUAUGGAGUGUGACAUCAAACUUUACACGUGUGGGAAAGUUCAUUUUAGUUAUAAAUACAAACCAGUUAUCUUAGCACAAUGACGAUGUGCUAAAUCCCACAACAAUGAACACGUUCUGGGAAUUACUGUAACGACUUUGUUCAGUUAAUAGGUUUGCCUGUAACCAAUGCUUAUUAUUUUCAAUUUCUAUCUUUUUUUUUCCCUACAAUAAGGAGUCUUCAAAGUUUUGCCGGAAAACUGGAAUUGGGUUCAGAAAGACAAAACGAAAGCCAGUGUGUCCGACUAAUUAUCUCAAAUAGGGAACAGGCAUUUAGAGCUGGUUUUUAAUUUGGUUUCUUGGCUUAAUAGUAAUUUGCCGAUUGUUACACAGCUGGUUCCCAUACUGUGGUUGUGGUCAGUCACCUUACGAGAUCCCUUAACUCAGAAUCUUUUCUUGGUUCCCAAGAUGAGGGGGCGGUUAAAACUGCUUCUGCUUCAUGACCUUGAAUGUAUUUAUUGCCUGUGGUCCCAGAGUGGUAGACGAUUGUUCAAGGCUUCUCCGUCCUUGGAGCUUCCUGCUGCGGAGGCUCAGACAGUAAAUGGCUGGUUUUUGUAGGAUUGGGUUCAGUCUACGCAUUUGACACACAUUCUGCUGCCUGAGAAGUGAGUUAAAGGGGUGAGAUCUGCCGCCCACAAGGGACAGCAAAACAGGGAGAGAGUGGCAGAGGCUCCUCCUUCCCAGUCCUCAUUUCCCUCGAGAGAUUCAGUAAAGACUUGUAGUCAAUUAGUCAUUUAAAAAAACAAAACAAAAAAACCUGUCUUCCUUCCCCUUCCCAUGGAUCAUUGCAGUCAUUUCCUUUUUUUUUUUUUUUUUUUGUCCCCUGGUCUUUCAUUUUAGAAUCACAGAUUCUGCUUAGAAGGACCUUAAAAUCUCUCAGUUCACUGCUCUCAAUACUUAAAAUGCCUCUUCACCCAGUUCUGGAUAGCUCUGCCACUUCGUCUUCCAGAUCUACUUGUGAGAUGCCACUCACCGUCUCUACCUUUUACCGUCUCUCAGUUGCCGACGGAUGAAGGUCAGACUCCUUAGCCUCAACCCUGGGGCUCCAGCCAGCCUCCCGACCCCACCCCCACGUGACCGUAACAGAGUCCAUGCUUCUAACUGGGCUCAUCGUCCAAGCUGUGGGUUUCCUGAUCCUGCGGCUUAAAUGAAACUGCCUUUUCCUCUCUCUCGGCCCAUCCAGACCCUCCCCGUCCUGCCCCCAGACGCCGCAGCCCACAGCUCUCAGCUCUUGUGGCGUGUUCCUCGGAGUUUCCUCAGAGCCACUUAGACUUGAUGGUUAUCCGGCAAUGGGAGGGGGAGCUUUCUCUCUAGAUUGUAAGCUUCCCGAGGGCAGGGACCACGACUGUGUUUCUGUGCAUCUCUUCAUAGUACCUUGAACAAUGCUUUGGAAUGUCUGGAAUGCCAAAACCAAUAAACAUGUGUGGACUGAAA
Molecule: RNA transcript, 4992 nt
Organism: Vicugna pacos (alpaca)
Lineage: Eukaryota; Metazoa; Chordata; Mammalia; Artiodactyla; Camelidae
Gene: RHBDD1
Gene name: rhomboid domain containing 1
Source: RefSeq, a predicted model, not a curated record